UACGGAGGGGGCUAGCGUUGUUCGGAAUUACUGGGCGUAAAGAGCGCGCAGGCGGUCGUUCAAGUCGAGUGUGAAAGCCCCCGGCUCAACUGGGGAGGGUCAUUCGAUACUGAUCGACUGGAAGGCAGGAGAGGGAAGUGGAAUUCCCGGUGUAGUGGUGAAAUGCGUAGAUAUCGGGAGGAACACCAGUGGCGAAGGCGACUUCCUGGCCUGUUCUUGACGCUGAGGCGCGAAAGCUAGGGGAGCAAACGGG
This 253-nucleotide ribosomal RNA is filed under the name uncultured bacterium. Its description in RNAcentral is "partial 16S ribosomal RNA". It matches the Rfam family "Bacterial small subunit ribosomal RNA", at positions 524 to 776 of the family's 1533-position model. The record is from RNAcentral.